CAGGUGGCUUGACCGUUGCUCUGCAUGAUUUACUUGUGGGCAGCAUAUCAGGCAGAAGCAAGCAAUCGAUCUGGGUAUAAGAGAGCCCAUCCAGUCACAUUAGGUUUUCAGUCUUUUUUCAUAUGGAGUAAGGGAAUCUCUUUUAAAUUCGCAGAUGCCCUUUGUGAUGCUUGUGCAGAUAGUGUGCUCCCCCCCCCCCCCCCCCCGCGGCCGUCCUAUAUCGAAUACUUUCCUCAGUUACUGUGAGUUACAGUCAACUGAUCAACCUGUGUAAACCCAUGGCUUUUUUCUUUUCAUGAUUUCAUCGGUGGGCCCUUUUUUGUUUCAUAUGUCCAUUAUGAAAUUCUUUGGGGUGUAAUCUUGUGCUUGUCAAUUGCCUUACAAUCCUAUGUUUGACAGUAUGAGGCAUGAUUUGUUUUUGCCUGUUUGAAAUUAUCAGACAUGCAGGCUUGUCCUGGGUUUGUAUCUUUGUGUUAUAUUGACUUGCUGCAUGGUUCUUAGUUUGACAAUAUAGUGCCAUUUAAUAAUAGGAAGACGUAAUUAUUGUUGUUAAUCUAUGGUAAUAUAGGAUCUACUCUCAGAUUUCCUAGUAUUUUCCUGUUUAUUUAUACAUUUCGGGUAGAUCAGCAAUAUCCUGUAAGAGGCAGUUUCUGAAAGAUGAACACAAUAUACACCUAUAUGGUAACUAAAAGUAUGCAAAAAACAAAAACAUUUUUCUCUCUUUAUAUUUGUGUGCUGUCAUACAAUGUCUUGAAGUUGUUAGUUCAAUUCCAAACACUUGAAUGAAUUUGUUUGUUUGUUUGUUUUUUUUUAAAUGUCAUUGGUAAAAUGUUUCUGAUAAGCUAUUACAGAUGUACUCAGAAUUAGAACUAGAUCAGUAGAUGUACUCAGAAUUAGAACUAGAUCAGUAAACCUUCCUAUUUUCGUUUGAACUGAGCCUCUACAACAUUUAGACCUUCUGCCUUAAAAAUAACAAAGGAUAUCAUUUUCUCAGAAAAGCCAAAUUAAACUUAUGAGUCUCUUUUUUGUGCUAAGGAUUACAUGACAUCUUGGCUUCUAACUCUUGUAAUACAAUAUUUAUGAACCCUCAAGAUUGAUUGAGGGCCGAAAUCAGUUUAGCUGCCUGACAAUGAUAGACAAAAUACUGCUACUGAGUGUGGUACAAUUGUACAAAGUAAGAUGCCGUUCCUGAUAAACAACCGAUGUAAUUUCAUUAUUUAUUGCUGUAUUUGUAAUUUUGUACUGACAUGAUAGUCAAUCGUGCUCGUGUUAAGGUUGUAAGUGUGCUGGUGGAGCUUGCUCUCUAAAUUUUAGACAUGCUGGGGCUGCUGACCUUCUAAGCUAGAAUCAAGAGGUGUUAGCAUUUCCCAUUGAAUCCCAUUGAAUUUUGCAAAAAACUUGAGUGUGCUUCAUGAACUUGGAUGGGCUUCUAUAGCUGAGAUAGUGGGAUUGGAGUAUAAUGCUGUUAGAUACACAUAACUCAUGUCGACCUUUCUUAGUUUGACAUUAUUGUGCCAUUUAAUUUAAGGAAGAAAAAAUUGAUGUUAAUUUAUGGUAAUAAUGGAUCUAAUUUCAGAUUUCUUUGACUCGCCAAUGGUACUUUCCAAUUUAUUUCUUAUACGAAGUACUAAAUUUAUAUUUGUGGUAGAUCAGCAGUAAUUUAUACGAGGCAGUUCCUAAAUGACAAACUCAAUAUACACUUUCUGAUAUUAUGCAAAAAACAAAAACAAUUUCUUGCUUUAUAUUUUGUGUUAUGUCAUACAAUGUUCUUAAAGUUAGUUAAAUCCAAACAUGUGAAUGAAUUUGUUUUUUAAAAAAAUGUCAUUGGUAUAGUAUUUAUGAUCAGCUCUUUCAGAUUUACUUGUAAUUAGAACUUGAUCAGGAAUGUUGCAUUUCUUAGAAGUAUAUUCUUGAUGGCUUGAUAUGCCUCUCAGCAGUAUAUUAAAAACCUUUUCACAAUUCACUUCCGAACCAAAAACCUUCCUAUUCUCUUUGAGUUGAACCUUUUGAGUUUUUAACAUUAAUUUCCUCCGUCUCAAAAAUAAAUUGCGCAUAGGCACAUAAUACAUAAGGAUAUCCCAGAAAACCCAAAUUGAAUAUAAGAAUGUUUCUUAUUUGUGUUUAGGAUUACAUGAUUGUAAUAUAGCGCUAAACUUUCAGAAGUUAUGAACCCACCAGAUUGAUUAAAGGCCGAAGUCAGUCUCGCUGCCUGACAAUGAUAGAUGAAGAAGUAUUGCUUUUGGGUAUUGAACAAAGUUUUAAGCGUGCUGCUGGAGCUUUGUUCUCUGAACAAUUUAGACAUGCUGGGGAUGCUGAACUUAUAAGCUAGAAUCAAGAGGCAUUGGCUCUCAUGUUGGCAUAUCUCAUUGAAUUCCUUGCUCUUGACUCAAGAGUGCACAGAAUCGAGGAGAUUGAAUAGAUCAGUGAGCGUUUUGUUUCAUAGUUGUAUUAAAAUCUUGCAAAAAGAAUGAGCAGCAAAGCAGGCUACUUGAGUGUGCUUCAUGAACUUAAAAGGCUUAUAUAACUGGGAUGUUGGGAUUGAAAUAUGAUGCUGUUAGAUACAACAUUACUCACAUUGACCUCUCAGCUGGCUAUAAUAAUUUUCAGUAGUUAAGUUGUUGAGGUGGGAUUGAUGCUUGCUAGAUGUCUCUUCUCAUCUUAAUGAAAAUUAUGUUGGACAUGAGGUUAUCUAGGUCCUACCCAAAUCAUAUGGUGUUAGUAUGAUUUAACAUUUUGUGGUGUCAGGGUGGCCUAUGAACCUUUAACUUGAUGGUGUAUUCACUCUUGUGAGUGGUGUUGCAGCCUUUAGUUUCAUAGACCUCAAUGAGAUUUGUUACUUAUGAUACUUGGGAGGCAUUUGCUAGCAGAUGUUAUAAGCCUGUGACCGGGAAUGAAAAGCAGAAAAGUGCAAAGAAAAGAGGUACCUUAGAGCUAUGUCUGGAAUUGAUAAAGACCUGUAGAAGAUGAAAUGUGGAUGCUAUUCUAUAUUGAAGCUUGCAGCUAGGUUAGUCACUACUCCAUAUUCUUUGUUGUAUUAGUUCAAAUAGUCAUCCUCAUUAGCUAUUAUUUAUGCUUAAACGAGUUAAAUUUAUUGCAAGAAUGCAUGUGGAAUGAUCGCUGCUCUGCAUGAUUACUUGUGGGCAGCACAUCUUGCAGAAGCUAGCAAUCAAUCUGGGUUGGGUACAAGAGAGCCCAUCCAGUCACAUAAGGUUUUCAGUCUUUUUUCAUAUAAGGGCAAUGCCUUAUGCCUAUGAUGUUGGAAUCUCUUCUAAAAGAGCUGAUGAUCUUUGUGAUAGUCUGUGCCCCCUCUUUGGCCCUAUACUGAACACUUUCUUCAUUUUACUGUGAGUUACUGUCAAGUGUCAACAGAACAACCUUGUAUUAUCAAAUACCAUGUCUUCUUUCCUUUCAUGAUUUCAUCGGCGAGCCUUUUUUUGUUUCAUAUGUCCAUUAUGAAAUUCUUUGGGGCGUAAUCUUGUCAAUUGCCAAACAAAUCGUACAAUCAUAUGUUUGACAGUAUGAGGCAUGAUUUGUUUUUGCCUGUUUGAAAUAAUCAGACAUGCAGGCAUUGUCCUGUGUUUAUAUCUGUAUGUUUUACUGACCUGCUGCAUGGUUCUUAGUUUGACAUUAUUGUGCCAUUUAAUUAAUAAUAGGAAGAUAUAAUCAUUGUUGUUAUAGGGUAAUAAUGGAUCUACUUUCAGAUUUCCUUGACUCGGCAAUGUUAUUUUACAGUUUAUUUAUAUAUUUCGGGUAGAUCAGCAUGGCUGUAUCCUGUAAGAGGCAGUUCCUGAAUGAUGAACACAAUAUACAUCUAUAUAGGAACUGAAAUUAUGCAAAAAACAAAAACAUUUUCUUUCUUUAUAUUUUUUGUGCCGGCAUAUAAUGUUCUUGAAGUGAGAUUGAGGUGAUGGAGUAGUGAACUAGUGACAUCGCUCUCACCUCAUAUUCUUGAGGUCUAGGGAUCAAAUUUCAUGGGACUCAUUUGAGGGAUUUUUCUUAUUCCCCCCUCAAAUGAGCCCCUUCUUCUUACCAUUUUAAAAAAAAAAUAAAUAAUAAAAAAAAACAAUGUUCUUGAAGUUGUUGGUUUAAUCCCCAACACGUGACUGAAUUUGUUUUUUAAGGAAGUCUUCGUAUAAUGUUUCUGAUCAGCUCUUACAGAUGUACUCGGAAUUAGAACUGGAUUAAGGUGCAUUGCCUAGAAGUAUAUGCAUGGCUUGAUCUUCCUCUCAGCAGUGUAUCAAAACCUUUUACAUAACUAACUACUGAACUGAAAACCUUCCUAUUUUCCUUUGAACUGAACCUCUAGAAUCAUCAACACCUUCUGCCUCAAAAAUAACUUGCACAUACUACAUAAGGAUAUUUCAGAAAAACCAAACAGAUUAACUGAAUAUACGAACUUCUCUUCUUUGUGCUUAGGAUUACAUGACUUACACCUUGGCUUCUGACUCUUGUAAUACAGUACUUGAUCAAUUUUCAGAAGUUAUGAACCCACCAGAUUGAUUGAGGGCCGAAGUCUGUCUAGCUGCUUGACAAUGAAAGACAAAGUCUGCUACUGAGUACAGUACAAAGUUGAAAGUGCGCUGGUGGAGCUUGUUCUCUGAACUUUAGACAUGCGCUGAACUUUUAAGCUAGAAUUAACUAUUAAGAGGUGUUGGCAUUUCCCAUUAAAUUCCUUGCUCCUUGUUGAUUCUAAAGGGCACAGAGCCACAGAAUCGAAGAGAUUGAGCAGCAGUAAGUAUAUCGUUUAAUAUUUUGUAUUAAAAUUUUGCGAACAUUUUGAGCAGCAAAGCAGGCUACUUAAGUGUGCUUCAUGAACUUGGAAGGGCUUCUACCACUGAAAAAGUGGGAUUGGAAUACAAUAAUGCUGUUCGAUACACAUAACUCAUGUCGACCUUUCUUAGUCUGACAUUAUAAUGCCAUUUAAAUUAAGGAAGAUAAAAUUGUUGUUAAUUAUGGUAUUAAUGGAUCUAAUUUCAGAUUCCCUUGACUCACCAAUUGUACUUUCCAAUUUUCUUAUACAGAAUUUAUAUUUCUAUAAAUCACCAGUAUCUUGUAAGAGGCAGUUCCUAAUGAUGAACACAGUAUACACCUAUCUAUACGGGAACUGAAAUCAUGCAAAAACAAAACAAAAAAAAUAUUCCUUGCUUUACAUUCUGUGUGUAGUCAUACGAUGUUCUUGAAGUUAGUUAAAUCCCAAACAUGAAUAAAUUUGUUUUUAAAAAAAAUUGUCAUUGGUAUAUUAUUUAUGAUCAGCUCUUUCAGAUGUAAUUAGAACUUGAUCAAAGAAUGUUGCAUUUCUUAGUAUAUUCUUGGCUUGAUCUGCUUCUCUUAGCUGGCAAUAAUAAUUUUCAGUAGCUAAGCUGUUGAGGUGGGAUUAAUGCUCGCUGUUAUGUCUCUCUACUCAUCUUAAUGAGGACAUGAUGUUAUCUAGGUCCUACCCAAAUCCACCUACGUUUAAUGCAU
Chenopodium quinoa (quinoa) is the source of this 5463-nucleotide long non-coding RNA. RefSeq lists it as uncharacterized. Lineage: Eukaryota; Viridiplantae; Streptophyta; Magnoliopsida; Caryophyllales; Amaranthaceae. The record is from RefSeq and is a predicted model, not a curated record. The transcript is spliced from 3 exons.